CUGGGCUGGGAGGAGUGCAGAGUAUAUGGAUAUUUUGCCCCCAGAAGAUUGGACGAUGACUGCCUGCAUUGAUGAGACUGCCUAGUUGCAGGAAAACAAGCUCAGGACUCCAACUUAUUCUAUGUUAUGUUGAUUAGGUUUCUCCUCGUAGUGAGAGACAUGGGCACCAGUAACUACCAGAGACACAAAACCUCACAGCUGAACCUCAGGAAUUGCUCCUUGGCCCUCCUUUCUCUCUUAUCAGCGUGUAGCUAGAUGCAUUCUGACAAGGUACAAAAACAAGGCAUCAGCCCAGUCACCUUUCACUGUUCUUUGUCUGCUGCAUCUUUUGGAUAGCUUAUCAGGUCUUGCCUGUAGUACCUUAUGCAGCUAUGUGAGACGGAAUGAUCCUAGAUGACCUCAAUUACAUGUCUGGACCUUCGCUGGAGUGUCUGGACAUUCUUUGUCUGUGCAGUGUCUCUCUCCAUGUGAUUUAUCAUCUUCAAGGAGGCUAAACUGUGCUUAUUUGCAGAAUAAGAGUGUUGGGAUUCUAAAAGGGCAUAUUCUAUUGGUUAAAGAAUGCCAUCCAAGAUUCAAAAGGAAAGGGAAUAGAUUUAUUGGAUAGCAUGGUGACUAUAGUUAAUGACAACAUAUUGUAAUUUUGAAAAAUGUUGAGUAUACCUAUUAAGUGUUCUCACCACAAAAUGAUAAUGAUGUGAAGGGAUGCAUUUGUUAAUUAGCUAGAUUUAACUUAUCCACAGGUAUAUCCAAUUUACAACAUUAUGUUGUUUGUGAUAAAUACAUGCAAUUCUAUAUGUUAAUUUAUAGUAAAUAAAUACAUAAAUAAAUUUGAAAAAAAAGAAAGGGGAAGGAAAUAGAUGUCACCCACUGUGGCAGGGAGGCCAAAAAAAGUGACAAAUCAAUCCACCACAACCUCUUUGAUCAGCACACUUUAUAAAGCAGAAUGACAUCAUACAGUAAAGGACAGAAGAGUGAUUGAGAGUGAACACAUGAAGAUACUGGAGCCUGACAACUAACAAGAGAAUAAUAUUUAAAGCUGUGGAGUGUUGUGGUCAAGACUGCAGAGUUUAGAAUGAAUCUGCCUAGGUGUGAUUCUUGGUUUCUUCAUUUAAUAGUUGUAUAGCUUGUUGGGUCGCUGUGAGGAUUAAAUGAGCUAAUGUAUAAUAUAUGAAGUGCUUGGUCUAGCUCUUGAGGGAUUGUAAGUGCUAACUAAAUGUUAUAAAUCAUUUUUGAGCAUAACUUAUAUUGCAAAUUGCUUAUCACAGAAGUAUUUACAACUUAAAGCUAGGAAUUUAAACUUUAUCAUUUUUGUCUAAUAAAUUAUUGAUUUUAUAUGCUCACUUUAGCUUAUAAAUAUGUUUUUGAUUUCAGAUUGUCAUGCUAUUAGAAAUUCCUCCAAUAUGUCUCUCAUAAUUGAUAAAGUGACAUCCUUAAGGACUUGAUAAAAAUGUCACUCAGUUUUUAUUCAGUUUCCAAAACAGCAAAACACUACCAAUGACUUUUUUUCUUUUGCCUCCUCUUGGAUUAAACAUUGUUUUUUUCUCCUUUUAUUUUUGCUGUGUUGGAAAGCUAUGUACUCUAGGUAUAUUCUUUAAGUAAGUUUUCCUACAAUUUUAACAAGCUUGCUUAUUCUUUUAUAUAUUUCUAACCCAUCCAAGUUACUGAGGUAAACACGUUAUGAAAUUUGUCUAAAUAUUCUCCAACAAUCUGCGAAGUUUUGAUUUUGUAAAAUUUCUACCUUGUUUUAAAACAAAAAUAGCUUAUUUUAUAAUCUUUUCAUACGUGAUGAUUUAUUGACAUGUUUUACUUAUGUUUUUGCUCAUUAUUGUUUUUUUCUCUUCACUUUUUGUGUUUACAUAUCUUGUUGUCCAAGUUUGUCAUUCAAUGUUUGUAGCAAACAUCUGGAGCCGUAAACUAUUGGUGAAACUGUUUCGGUUUUCUUUUCUUUUUUUCUCUUCUCUUUUCUUUCUUUUAUUUUCUUUGUUUUUUCUUUCUUUUUUUUUUUAAACUCAGUAAUGGUAGUUUAGCAAGAUGUAGAAGAAAAGAUGCAUUUAUUUUCUGUCACUAUAGUGACUUAUAGCACCUAUUACUCCUGAUAGGAAGUCUUAUGUCAGAU
This 2116-nucleotide long non-coding RNA is filed under the name Homo sapiens (human). RNAcentral describes it as "HSALNT0373885". The record is from RNAcentral. Lineage: Eukaryota; Metazoa; Chordata; Mammalia; Primates; Hominidae.